UGAACGCUGGCGGCAGGCCUAACACAUGCAAGUCGAGCGGAUGACAGGAGCUUGCUCCUGAAUUCAGCGGCGGACGGGUGAGUAAUGCCUAGGAAUCUGCCUGGUAGUGGGGGACAACGUUUCGAAAGGAACGCUAAUACCGCAUACGUCCUACGGGAGAAAGCAGGGGACCUUCGGGCCUUGCGCUAUCAGAUGAGCCUAGGUCGGAUUAGCUAGUUGGUGAGGUAAUGGCUCACCAAGGCGACGAUCCGUAACUGGUCUGAGAGGACGACCAGCCACACUGGGACUGAGACACGGCCCAGACUCCUACGGGAGGCAGCAGUGGGGAAUUUUGGACAAUGGGGGAAACCCUGAUCCAGCAAUGCCGCGUGUGUGAAGAAGGCCUCGGUUGUAAGCACUUUGUCAGGACGAACGGUAGGGGCGUAAUACCUCCUGCUAAUGACGGUACUCGAAGAUAAGCACCGGCGUAACUACGUGCCAACAG
RNAcentral lists this ribosomal RNA (484 nucleotides) under uncultured bacterium. Its description in RNAcentral is "bacterial SSU rRNA". It matches the Rfam family "Bacterial small subunit ribosomal RNA", at positions 30 to 514 of the family's 1533-position model. The record is from RNAcentral.